Long non-coding RNA from Equus caballus (horse), 2271 nucleotides. Lineage: Eukaryota; Metazoa; Chordata; Mammalia; Perissodactyla; Equidae. The record is from Ensembl.
CAGGCCUGUCCCCCACCCCCAGCUCUCAGUUACAGCUCGUUUGGCUUCAGCUGUGCUUUUAACCUCUCAGGAGGUAGAUGGAAGCCUGCAGUCGGCGUGCGCCUUCCUCUUCGCUGCCCGGACGGGGCCUGGAUCCUUUCUAACUGUGAGUACAGAAGGAGGACACCUCCCGUUUGGAUCCUGGAUUGUAGGCCAGGUCUACCUAGAAGCCAAUCACUCAAGGCUAAGAAAAUGGCUUGAAGGCCUUUUUUUUCCUAUAAAAUGCAGCCAGUGCUGUGCUGUGAGGGAGAAGAGGACAGAGGAUGAAGAUGGGGCUGAGGAGGAGGCUGUGACCAGGACGCCCUCAGGGAUGACUCUGGGCAGCGGGGGAGGCCGGCACAUGUGCGGAGGAAGCUCUGUCUCCGACAAGGCGGGUUGUGUGCCAACGCCAGCGAACGCUGCAUAUUCAUUGAAACAAACAUGACAGUCCACCCAGGGAAGCAGAGUGGGCCGACCUGGCAGCCAGCUCCUUCAAGACAGUUCCAGAGCAGAGCUGGCGGUUCUGGCUAUUGGUGGCCGAGAAAGGGCACAGCUCGGUGUGUGUGGAGAGAGAGGCCUGAUGAGCAGCUUUCCCUAGGGCAUUUCUGACACCAGUCAUCCGGCUUCUCCAGGACGGCUCAACGGUUCACUAAGGACAGCGUGGGAGGAAAACGUGGCCCAGCCUGAUAGAUAUCUCAGUCUUUUCACCCAGACCGACGCCAGCAAAGCUAAAAAUAAAUCAGCUUUCAGGUCUGGGCACAGAGGCCUGGAAGGCGCAAGCGUUCAUGAGCCAGCAGUAAUGAUGGAACCAGCCCUCUCGUGUGGAAGUCUCUCUGAGUGAACCAGAUGUCGUUGGCCCUAGGAGAUCCACGACCAAGAGUUGAGUUUUCACAGCGUUGAAAGGCCAGCAUUGGCCCUAACGCUAUUGGCCUCAGCAGAAGUCAGGAGCAAGAGUGAAGACCUAAUGAAGAGAGAGAGAGGCUGGAGAGUCUGGACAGAAACCUGCGAGCCUUAGAUUCUCAUGCUGUCUCAUCAAGCGCAGGGCCCAGCUUUUCAUCCAGUGAAGGGUUCCAUGCAGCCCAGAACCACCAUGGCCUUGGAGAAGAGGCUCAGAAGCAGGAGUCAGGAAGCAGAAGCCCUGGCCACUUUGUGGUUGUAGAGUCAUCAUCUAGAAGAGAGAACCAUGAAAUGUAUGUGUAGAAAGACAGCUGGCCUCUCUUCCCACAGGAGUUAACGAUCCAGAGGGGAAGACGAUUUGAGCUCUUUACAGACCCGCGUUAUACAUGACUGGCUGCUGAUCCAUCUCCUUCUCGCUGACCAGGACGAGGAAACUGACUGACAUCGUCAAGCAGCAGCAGUGAAGAUGCAGCGUAGACUUUCUGGACAGACCGGUUGCCAAGAACCAAACUGUGGAAGGAGUAAUAAGUAUUCAUUUAACACCCAGUUAUAUAACACAUAUAUAUCAUAUAACAGAGUUAUAUGAUAGGCACUCUGGGGUAAAAAAAUAAAAAUCACCGAACCGACUCUUAACCUCAAUUUGGGUAUUGAAGAAAGGAUUGUCUUGCCUUGCACAUAGUAGGCAUUUAGUAAAUGUUGAAUUGAAGAAUAUAAUCGAACGGUGAUUCAGCUGAGGGAAGGCCUACACAGAGGAAGGGGGAUCUCAAAUCUCUUCCAAAACUGUAAGAAUGACAAGGCAGGAUGUUCUGUGCAAGGCUGGAGUCACAGCUUUCAAAGACAAUUCAAAUGCUACGUGGUCAAGGCACAAGGGGAAAAACAGCCUCUUGAAUCCCUAAUUGUUUACUUCCUUAAGAGAGUAAGUUUAGCUGGCGGCAUGGAGCUUAUUCAUUCAUUCAUUCAUUCACUUACUCAUCCUGUAAUUAUGAAGCAGUUCUAUAUACUAGGUGCUGGGCUCAGCACUAAGGGUAGAGCAGUUGAAAUAAGAUGAACAGUUUCUUGUCCUCAGGAAGCCUCUAGUCCAGGGAGGAAGUCAGACAUUGAAAAUAGAUGUUCCAGCUGUGAUGAAUGGAUCGAUAGGGGCAAUCAAAGUGCUAUGGAUAUCAUUUGUCGUGUACUGCAAGUUUAUUAACCUAGGAAUAGAUUCAAACAUUGUCAUGUACAUAUUGUGACCAUGACUUUGCAAAUGAACUUUUAACAAACAUAUUGAGACUUAUGCAUAUAAAUAAGUGUUUUUUCCAACAAAGACUCACUUUGGAAGCCCGUGUUCAUAUUUCAAUGAUACUUUUCUGGUUACUG